Long non-coding RNA from Beta vulgaris subsp. vulgaris (sugar beet), 807 nucleotides. RefSeq lists it as uncharacterized. The record is from RefSeq and is a predicted model, not a curated record. The transcript has 4 exons. Lineage: Eukaryota; Viridiplantae; Streptophyta; Magnoliopsida; Caryophyllales; Amaranthaceae.
CCUAAUUACUGUUGGUCUGCUCCUACAUACUACAGCUACUACGCACUCGUACUUCGACACCCACAAAGUCAAAACAAAGGAAAAAAAAAAACUCCUUGUUCAUCUUGUUCUUCAUUUCAUCAUUCUAUUUACUUUAUUCAACACCCUAAAUUCAUAAAUUUUGUUCAAAUUUCAUCAAAUUCAACAUUCCUUCAUCUAUCUUUGAAAUUACUUGAGUUUGUGGGUAAUUCAAAGAGGGAAAAUUUGGCUUUUCUAUUGAAUAUUUUGGGGCGAAAAUCGUAUCAAAAGGGCAAUUUUUCGGGUCUUUUUCUUGAGUAACUGUAUCUCCCUAUUAAAGUACAAUCUUUAUGAAAUUUGACAUUAUAUACAGAGCGUAGUUCGCGAAGUAUAAUGGUAACUGAGUCUCGUCAAACGCUAAAUUCGCGGGCUAUGACCUGCAUAAGGUACGACAGGUGGAGGCUGGCAUUUCUUUUAAUCUUUAAAGUGGUAUACUGGCUGUUGAUUGCUUCCUACAUCUAAAAUAUGUUAGAGUGGUCUUCAUAUGCAAGCAGGUUUCAUUGCCCUUGAUCACUUGGAGUUAUGUUGAGAAAGAUACUUAAUCAUUUUUUAUUGUUGUUUUUAUCUUGAACGAUUCAUGUAUUAUCACUUAGUCUUGAUUAGUAUUUUAUUUUUGUUUUUGACAGGGAGAUGUAUCAUAUUUUGAUGUAAAUGUAUAAUGUACUAGAGAAAAUGAAAUACAACUUGUAGUAUUGUGUUUGUAAUACAAGUAAUUCUUCAGCUUUAUUGAUUUUAAUUUUUUUUUGUAAA